Molecule: unclassified non-coding RNA, 148 nt
Organism: Macaca fascicularis (crab-eating macaque)
Lineage: Eukaryota; Metazoa; Chordata; Mammalia; Primates; Cercopithecidae
Rfam family: Metazoan signal recognition particle RNA
About the family: The signal recognition particle (SRP) is a universally conserved ribonucleoprotein. It is involved in the co-translational targeting of proteins to membranes.
Source: Ensembl
GCCGGGUGUGGUGGUGCAUGCCUGUAAUCCCAGCUACUUGGGAGGCUGAGGUAGGAGAAUCACUUGAACCCAGGAGGCGGAGGUUGCAGUGAGCCCAGAUUUCACCACUGCACUCCAGCCUGGGUGACAGAGCAAGAUCCUGUCUCCA